UCCGGUUUGUCACCGGCAGUCUGGCGUGAGUCCCCAACUUAAUGCUGGCAACAUGCAACGGGGGUUGCGCUCGUUGCGGGACUUAACCCAGCAUCUCACGACACGAGCUGACGACAGCCAUGCACCACCUGUGACAGUGCCCCGAAGGGAGGGUGUGUUUCCACGGCGGUCACCAACAUGUCAAGCCCAGGUAAGGUUCUUCGCGUUGCGUCGAAUUAAACCACAUGCUCCGCUGCUUGUGCGGGCCCCCGUCAAUUCCUUUGAGUUUAGCCUUGCGGCCGUACUCCCCAGGCGGGGCACUUAGUGCGUUAGCGACGGCACGGGAGGAGUCGACACCUCCCACACCUAGUGCCCAUCGUUUACGGCGUGGACUAC
RNAcentral lists this unclassified non-coding RNA (375 nucleotides) under uncultured Solirubrobacterales bacterium. RNAcentral describes it as "contains 16S-23S intergenic spacer region". Lineage: Bacteria; Bacillati; Actinomycetota; Thermoleophilia; Solirubrobacterales. The record is from RNAcentral.